GUAGGACGUCUGCUCUCAGAUUGCCAAACUAAAAUUGUUGCUCUCAGUAGGACGUCUGCCUCCUCUCGCGAAAGGCGAACUGUGGAUCAGAGGGCCUACCAUAACGAAGUGUGAGUGUUUGCCAUUUUACCCGUCAAUUUCGUGCCAAACAAGUGGCCCUUUUGUUGUCUGGAUUGAAUCUCACGCAUAAAUGUAGAUGGUAUAUGGGGUGAAUUGUGGUUUGCAAAAAGGGGUAGCUCAAUUUGGUGCAGGAUAUAUGGCUGAAAAAGAAGCAACAGCUGCAAUGUUGGACCCUGAGGGAUGGCUAAGAACUAGUGACAUUUGCUAUUUUGAUCAUGAAGGCUUCCUAUUCUAUGUGGAAAGGAUGAAGGACUUUAAUUAAGUACAAGGCUUACCAGGUUGCUCCGGCAGAGCUGGAAAACCUGCUGCUUUCGCAUCCCGAGAUCACUGAUGCUGCUGGGAUCCCGUAUGUUUGUUCAGCCUUCUUUUGCUUAUGUCUUAAGCGGAGUACUGUCUCAGUAGCAUCCAUGUUGAAGUCCCCUACUGUUAAUCUUACAGGUUUCCCUCAUGACGAAGCAGGCCAAAUACCCGUGGCUUUUGUAGUGAGAAAAUCAGGAAGCCUGAUUAAUGAGUUGAAGAUUAUAGGCUUUGUUGCCAAAUGGGCAUGCACCAAAAAUUACCUAUUCCGGAUUAAAGAGUGCAGAAUCGAAUCAGAUCAUUAUUACAGACACAGCAGAAUAGGAACAGUUGCUUUGAGUUGUGAGCACAAGCACAUUUGUUGUCCUUCUUGUCAUUUCAUUCCUACUCAUUAUUGGAUUUGCCUCUACGUUGCUUCAU
Molecule: non-coding RNA, 837 nt
Organism: Coffea arabica (coffee)
Lineage: Eukaryota; Viridiplantae; Streptophyta; Magnoliopsida; Gentianales; Rubiaceae
Source: RefSeq, a predicted model, not a curated record